RNAcentral lists this unclassified non-coding RNA (236 nucleotides) under uncultured fungus. Its description in RNAcentral is "sequence contains ITS1". The record is from RNAcentral. Lineage: Eukaryota; Fungi.
GUUUUAUUUUCGAAGUUAUAAAUCAUCCUCAAUUCCUCUGAAGGCGUUUAAAAGGGCAGAGUCCGCAAGGCUCCACCACCUCCCAAAAAGAGAGAGGCGGAGUCUUGAGCAUAGGACCUUCACACAUGAAAGCCAACUCCGAGUGCACAGGUGUUUGAAAGAUGUGGGACGAGACCUCUAAAAAGAGCGCCUCUGAUCUUUCGGUAAUGAUCCUUCCGCAGGUUCACCUACGGAAA